Molecule: long non-coding RNA, 1244 nt
Filed under: Canis lupus familiaris (dog)
Lineage: Eukaryota; Metazoa; Chordata; Mammalia; Carnivora; Canidae
Description: lncRNA (ENSCAFG00030020571.1)
Source: RNAcentral
CCCCUUCCCGGGCACCGCAGGGCCCAGACGCGGGGAAGGCCCCGCCGCCAGCUGCCCCAAGGCCCUGGAGCCGUCGCCUUCUGGCUUUGAUGUCAACACGGCUGUUUGGGUCUGAGUCCCGGAGACAGAAAGUUGACUGAGCCCCAGAGCGGCCCCGUGUGCCGGGAAGCGUGGGCUGCGGGCGCUAUGGCUUUCGAAAGCCGAACUCCUGAGUUCCUUUCCCCCAGGAAGGAGGGCGAGACAGCGAGAGUGUCUGGAGCUGAGGGUUGUGUAUGGUUGAGUCAGGCUGGGGGGGGGGCUGUUGAGGAGGUGAGGGCUCCUGGGCAUGGAGAGACGUGGCAGGGGGGUACUCACCUUGGGGCUGCAGGUGACGAGAGGGGCAGGAACAGAGCAGUGGGCAAUCUUGAUCCUUCCCUGCCCCCAAAGACCUCAGUUGAACAUUCUGUAAGAUUAGAGUGCUGGGGUCUCUGGUCCCCCCCAGAGGCUCCCAAUAAAGACCUCGUCUGUGUCUCUGUCAUCCCCAACCUCAUCACCGUGGGCUCCUUGGCACAGGCGUGCAACGCCAGCCCUCCCAGGAUUGGGAGCAGGAGAGAGGAGCCUUCCCCAUCCCACUUCUCCCUGUCGCCUUCAAGAUUCCGGCCACACCCGGGCCUGAAAAAUGGGUGGAGUGGACCUGCGGGGACCUAGAGAUGGCCCUGGAUCUUUCAAAGGCACAGGAAAGAUGUAGCCCUGGAGACCAAGCUGGAGGAGGGAGGAGGCUUCCAUCACCCUCAGAUCCCCUCUGCCAAAUGGUGGAUGUUUCAUGCUUUGGUGGCGGGAGCCACACGAAGGAAGGUGCUAAAUUUAUUUAUUCAGUGCUUGCUAUUUGCCGGGCAGCGUGCAAAACAGGCCUUUCUAGACUGACCCUAGAAAGGGUUGUCUUCUUGGUGGAUCAGUGGAGGUUCAUAGGGGUCCUAAGGGCUGCCCAGAUCGGCCUGCCAACUCAUGCAAGAACAAGAUUUGAAACAGGAUUGGCUGGCGGCAGAACAGCCUUCUGCCCUCCCGGAGUAUGGAGUUUGCCGACUGAGCCGGCCCUUUCUGGAGGAGCAAGCCCCUGCUCAUCCUGUCUCCCCAGGGAGGGCGUGGUGAUGCUUCAGUGCGGGGUGAAGGCCCGGUGGCUUCGGCUGCCAGGGUGCUGGUGCUGGUGGCAGUGCUGGUGGCGGUGCUGGUGCUGCUGCUGGUGCUGGUGGCGGUGCUGGUGCUAG